Molecule: long non-coding RNA, 2124 nt
Organism: Belonocnema kinseyi
Lineage: Eukaryota; Metazoa; Arthropoda; Insecta; Hymenoptera; Cynipidae
Exons: 3
Source: RefSeq, a predicted model, not a curated record
AAAGGUGAUUUAGUGCUUCCUGCUGUCCUGUCUGUCGUGACUCGAGUUUUCCUAUACAGCUUUCAAUGACGACCGCGUCCGGUGUCCCAAUUUGAACUUUCAAAUCUGUCACCAGUACUUUGUUUUCCUGUAUACAGAGCCAAAAACCCACAUCUCUUUUGUUCAAGUCUCAAAAAGAAUGAUUAAACCAGCAAUAGUGAUGGAAUUUUAAAUUUGCCGCUGAAAAAUGCGGCGGGAAGUUUGAAAUGAAUUCGCUUUUGGUGAUUCUUGGAAGAGGUAAGAUUUUUCAUGUCAUAAAUAUGGGUACGACUAAGAAAAAAACAAAAGUGAAUAACUGAAGCAGAAAAAAUAAAAAUAAAUCUGUAAAUCUAUAUGACAGUAGCUCUAAGGCUCCAAAGAAGGCUGCAGUUUUAGUUAGUACUUCCAAAAAGGUGUUUAAAAAAACCUAUACGAAUAAAUUAUUUGGCUGAUGAUGUAGUCAAUGCUUUGAAAGCUUUUGAUACAGGUCUUUCAUUGAGAAAAUCUGCUGCUGUCUACGGAGUGCCCAUAUCUACGCUUUCCAGAAAAAAGCAACCCUGAAACAUCAAAACGAAAAAAUGGACCUGCAACAGUUUUUUCUCAAACUGAAGAACAAAAAAUAGCCGACUUGAUACUUUUUAGAGCUCAGCGUGGUUCACCAGUUACAAAAAGAGAGUUAUUAGAUUCUAUUCAGCAAUAUGUGAAACUAUCAAAGAAAGAGACUCCGUUUAUUGAUGACCGACCAAAUAUUCAUUGGUAUGAGGGCUUUAGACAGCGAUAUCCUCAGUUGUCAAGCAGGAAACCACAACAUUUAACCCUGAGUAGAACAGCAGUCACAUGUGAUGACCUAAAAGAUUGGUUCGACGAACAAAAAAAGUAUUUAACUCAAAAAAUGUAAUAAAUUGUCCUCCUGAGAGAAUUUUUAAUUGUGACGAGACAUAUGUAAUUUUAUGUCCUCCAUCAGAGAAAGUUCUACUAGGUCAAGAAUCUCAUAGUUACGAAUUGCCCCGUAGGUUGGGGCAUUGGUCUUUCAGAUAAUGACUGGAUGACUUCUGAGUCAUUCUAUGAAUAUAUAACAAAUAUAUUCUAUCCAUGGUCAGUUAACCAAGAGACUCAGUUUCCAAUUGUUUUAUUCUUGGAUAAUCAUUCAUCCCACAUUACUUUGCCUCUAGUCUCAUUCUGUCGAGAAAAAGGUAUCGAGUUGAUUGGCCUCGUUCCUAACUCAACCCACAUAAUGCAACCACUCGAUAUUAGCUUUUUUCAACCGUUUAAAGAAACGUGGAAGAAAGCGGUACCAAGAUGAAAAAUUCAAAGGGUAUUGUGCGAAUAAAGAAGGAAGACUUCCCGUCAGUUCUCAAGCUUGCUUUGGAUAGUAUGAAAGAAGAAAAAAACGCUGUUAUCAAUGGAUUCAAAACUGCAGGAUUGUAUCCAUUCGACCCUGCUGCCAUUGAUUAUGAUUUGUUCAAUAAAAGGAAGAAAAGUAAAACAGCUGUUGCUGAACAGAAAAUGCAAGAUGAAUUUACAGAAGGCAAACAAAAACAUUGAUUAACUUUUGAAAACAAUCUUUCAAAGGAUCUUCUGAAAGACUUUAGGAGUGCUUGGUUAAAUAAGACAUGGCCUAAAGAUCUACAAAUGAGAGGCUUGUUCGAAUACUGGCUUGAUAUCAGUGGAAGACCUGAAGUUAAUACUGAUUCUGGGAAUCCUCUUGACAACGCUUUUACACUUCCAACAAAUUAUUUACCAAAGGAAAAAAGAAUAAAAGUAGAAUCGUCAGGUAAACCACAAUUAUCUUCUGUUGGGGCAUCCGAUCAAUGGAUGCAAUACCAUAUAAAAAAGAAGAUAAACGAAAAUUAAAAGAAGGGAAAUUACAACAACAAAAAAGUUACAAGAAAAGAAGAAAAUUUUAGCUGAAGAAAAGAAAAAACUGCAAGAUAAAAUGAGAGAAAUGCAGAAGAAGAUUAAAGAAGAAAAAAAAUAGUACAAGUUAUAAAUUUUAAAUAUAUGUUGUCUUCAGUGAUUAUUUAUCCAAAGAUUUGAAACUGUUCUUGUCAUGCUGUUUAAUAUGUCAGUGUUUAUUUAUUGUUGGUUGAUUCUUUUAAUCCCUAA